Molecule: long non-coding RNA, 1740 nt
Filed under: Catharus ustulatus (Swainson's thrush)
Lineage: Eukaryota; Metazoa; Chordata; Aves; Passeriformes; Turdidae
Description: lncRNA (ENSCUSG00005000065.1)
Source: RNAcentral
AGGAUACUGGGCUGCCUUGCACCUUUUGCAAGAAGGAUGUGGCUCGUUCUCACCCUUAGACAAGGGGGCCCAGAUUGUGGGUAAAACCAAUGUCCUGAUAUGAUUGUGUAACAGAUUUAUCCCUGGCAAUGGGUGAUCCUGCCCUGCAAUUAUGAACCCAGCACUCUGAGGAUCCUGAAUUUCCAGGCAUUUUCCAGCCUGACUACGGUGCUGCAUCUCCCAGGGAAGAGCAGGACACUUUCCACCUGGAUCUGACAGAAGAACAGGGUAUGGAUGUGGCUGGUGCUAUCAGGAAUUUGGCCAGAAAUGAAGGUGCCUGUGCUGCCUCUUUGGGGUUUCUUGUGCCUUCAGUGAGGCUGUGCCAUGCCAGCUUUGCCUCCUCUGGGCUGCUGAGAGAAUCCUUGGUGUCAGGGUGACUCCAGUAGCUCUGGUUUCCUCUGGGGAGCUGGUGCUUUCCAGGUGAUGGGAAAUGACCAUCACAUCAUCCUCUCUGCUCAUGACUGGAAGUAGUGCAGCUUCCAUCCCUCUGCUAAUCAAGUGCUGGCAGGAUGAGGAAAUGGGAAAUGUGGAUGUUUUGGCAUCUGAUAUCCUCCCACCUGAGACAAACCACCAGAACAGAGAUUUAGAUUUGUAUCCAUGCCAAUCUGUCAUGGUGGGAAGAGAGGAGUUCGCCUGUGGCAUGUGCUAAGCAACAGCUGACAUGAAAUGCAAUAUGUAAUCUUUUCAUCAUGUAAUUAAUUUAGUUUAUGAAUAUAAAAGGAGAGCAGAGAAGGAACUUACUUGACAUAAGAUCAAAGUGAAAGCAAAAGCAAGCAAGAAAUGUGUUGUAGAAGGGUGAGCAGAGAAAAUGGAAGGAUCCCUUUAGAUUUCCUCUAGCAUUCAGGAUGAGCUCAUCCUCACAAAACUAUCAUGUCAGAAAAGCUCCCACAUCCCAGUAAUGAAACAGAGCUUUGUUUCUCAACCUCUACCACAGUGCCUGAUGUCCCAGUGGUUGUGUAUGUAGCUUUGGGGUGCUGCCUCAGAGCCCAGCAUGGAGCAGAGACACCAGGGCCAGAGCCAGCAGUUCAUGGGGAGCUGCAGGACCACCCCCACCCUGUCACCCUUGGCUCUACAGAAACAACAGGAGUAGAAGGUGGAAGCUGCAGCUGCUGUUGCUUUCUCCUGGUGCCUGCUCUCCCUGGCAUUUGCCAUGGAUGAUGUUCCCCAGGCAGGAGCACUCCUCUGCUGGUGCUGCAUCACAGCCCCACUGAGCCCCUCAGCAAUGCUCUGCCUGGGGCUGCAGGGGCUCCUCACUCCUCUCUGUCUUUCUCCUGAGCCAUUUGCAGGAGAAAUGGCUCAGAAUGUGCUGUGCUAAUUUUGGUAAGCCCAAGCAGGGGAGUAAACCCAAAUCUGAUAGCAGCAAACAGGAAAUAACCUUUCUUCUUUCUUCGCCUCCUCAUUCUAGAAAAUCCUUUCCAGCAUUUUUAUCUUGAUGUCACUUUCUGGAAUGGGCUUUGCUAGGUGAGGUGGGAGAAGAGUCCUGGAAAGGCAGGACUCCAGCCUGAACACAGGUGAGAAUGCGCCAGCUCUCUUUCCUGCCUGUGCACAAGUUGGGCCAAGAUUCCUCUUGCUGCCAUAGGAGGUCACAGUGAAAGCUGUGCAAUUUCAGCUUCUCUUUGUACACAUUUCUGCCCAGCUGUUGAGAGUUUGGGACUUUUAUUCUUCAGAUGAUUUAGUGUCUGAUAAGGAGUUCUGUUUCCG